CAAAUACUCCCUCCGUCCGGAAAUACUUGUCAUCAAAAUGGAUAGAAGCAUAUGUAUCUAGACGUAUUUUAGUUUUAGAUACAUCUCUUUUUAUCCAUUUUGAUGACAAGUAUUUUCGGACGGAGGGAGUAGAAA
Molecule: non-coding RNA, 135 nt
Organism: Triticum urartu
Lineage: Eukaryota; Viridiplantae; Streptophyta; Magnoliopsida; Poales; Poaceae
Source: Rfam